GACGAACGCUGGCGGCGUGCCUAAUACAUGCAAGUCGAACGCACAGUUUAUACCGUAGCUUGCUACACCAUAGACUGUGAGUUGCGAACGGGUGAGUAACGCGUAGGUAACCUGCCUGGUAGCGGGGGAUAACUAUUGGAAACGAUAGCUAAUACCGCAUAAUAUUGAUUAUUGCAUGAUAAUUGAUUGAAAGAUGCUAUUGCAUCACUACCAGAUGGACCUGCGUUGUAUUAGCUAGUAGGUGAGGUAACGGCUCACCUAGGCGACGACACAUAGCCGACCUGAGAGGGGGAUCGGCCACACUGGGACUGAGACACGGCCCAGACUCCUACGGGAGGCAGCAGUAGGGAAUCUUCGGCAAUGGACGAAAGUCUGACCGAGCAACGCCGCGGGAGUGAAGAAGGGUUUCGGAUCGUAAAGCUCUGUUGUAAGAGAAGAACGGGUGUGAGAGUGGAAAGUUCACACUGUGACGGUAGCUGACCAGAAAGGGACGGCUAACUACGUG
RNAcentral lists this ribosomal RNA (505 nucleotides) under uncultured bacterium. Its description in RNAcentral is "partial 16S ribosomal RNA". It matches the Rfam family "Bacterial small subunit ribosomal RNA", at positions 28 to 507 of the family's 1533-position model. The record is from RNAcentral.